RNAcentral lists this ribosomal RNA (468 nucleotides) under uncultured bacterium. RNAcentral describes it as "partial 16S ribosomal RNA". It matches the Rfam family "Bacterial small subunit ribosomal RNA", at positions 28 to 507 of the family's 1533-position model. The record is from RNAcentral.
GACGAACGCUGGCGGCGUGCUUAACACAUGCAAGUCGAACGGAAAGGCCCGGCUUUUGUGGGGUGCUCGAGUGGCGAAGGGGGGAGUAACACGUGAGUAACCUGCCCUUGACUGUGGGGUAACUUCAGGAAACUGGGGCGAAUACCGGAUAGGAGCUCCUGCUGCAUGGGGGGGGUUGGAAAGUUUCGGCGUUGGGGGAUGUACUCGCGGCUUAUGAGCUUGUUGGUGGGGUAGUGGCGGACCAAGGCUUUGACGGGUAGCCGGCCUGAGAGGGUGACCGGCCACCUGGCGCCUGCGGUACGGCCCAGACUCGUACCGGCCGCAACAGUGGGGAAUCUUACACAAUGGGCGGAAGCCUGUUGCGACAACGCCGCGUGCGGGAUGACGGCUUUCGGGUUGUAAACCACUUUCGCCUGUGCCGAGGCGUGCGUGACGGUACUGGGUCAAGAAGCCCCGGCUAACUACGUG